Molecule: ribosomal RNA, 497 nt
Filed under: uncultured bacterium
Lineage: Bacteria
Description: partial 16S ribosomal RNA
Rfam family: Bacterial small subunit ribosomal RNA
Source: RNAcentral
GAUGAACGCUGGCGGCGUGCCUAAUACAUGCAAGUCGAGCGAACAGACGAGGAGCUUGCUCCUCUGACGUUAGCGGCGGACGGGUGAGUAACACGUGGAUAACCUACCUAUAAGACUGGGAUAACUUCGGGAAACCGGAGCUAAUACCGGAUAAUAUAUUGAACCGCAUGGUUCAAUAGUGAAAGACGGUUUUGCUGUCACUUAUAGAUGGAUCCGCGCCGCAUUAGAUAGUUGGUAAGGUAACGGCUUACCAAGGCAACGAUGCGUAGCCGACCUGAGAGGGUGAUAGGCCACACUGGAACUGGGACACGGUCCAGACUCCUACGGGAGGCAGCAGUAGGCAAUCUUCCGCAAUGGGCGAAAGCCUGACGGAGCAACGCCGCGUGAGUGAUGAAGGUCUUCGGAUCGUAAAACUCUGUUAUUAGGGAAGAACAAAUGUGUAAGUAACUAUGCACGUCUUGACGGUAACUAAUCAGAAAGCCACGGCUAACUACGUG